RNAcentral lists this ribosomal RNA (329 nucleotides) under uncultured eukaryote. Its description in RNAcentral is "partial 18S ribosomal RNA". It matches the Rfam family "Eukaryotic small subunit ribosomal RNA", at positions 1470 to 1796 of the family's 1831-position model. The record is from RNAcentral.
CCCUCAGAUGUCCUGGGCCGCACGCGCGCUACACUGAGUGUCUGAGAUACGAGUCUGCCUGGUCCGGCAAGGUCUAGGUAAUCGCUAAAAGACACAUCAUGCUUGGGAUAGAUUAUUGCAAAUAUUAAUCUUGAACGAGGAAUUCCUAGUAAGCGCAAGUCAACAGCUUGCGUUGAUUACGUCCCUGCCCUUUGUACACACCGCCCGUCGCUACUACUGAUUGGAUGUUUAAGCGAGGUUCUCGAACUGCUAGCGACUUAGCUUCGGUGAGGUCGCAGUGUGGGAAGUGAACCUAGCUUUGGUGUCUAGAGGAAGUAAAAGUCGUAACA